CGUAGGUAACCUGCCUGGUAGCGGGGGAUAACUAUUGGAAACGAUAGCUAAUACCGCAUAAGAGUAGAUGUUGCAUGACAUUUGCUUAAAAGGUGCAAUUGCAUCACUACCAGAUGGACCUGCGUUGUAUUAGCUAGUUGGUGAGGUAACGGCUCACCAAGGCGACGAUACAUAGCCGACCUGAGAGGGUGAUCGGCCACACUGGGACUGAGACACGGCCCAGACUCCUACGGGAGGCAGCAGUAGGGAAUCUUCCGCAAUGGACGAAAGUCUGACGGAGCAACGCCGCGUGAGUGAUGAAGGUUUUCGGAUCGUAAAACUCUGUUGUUAGGGAAGAACAAGUACGAGAGUAACUGCUCGUACCUUGACGGUACCUAACCAGAAAGCCACGGCUAACUACGUGCCAGCAGCCGCGGUAAUACGUAGGUGGCAAGCGUUGUCCGGAAUUAUUGGGCGUAAAGCGCGCGCAGGCGGUCCUUUAAGUCUGAUGUGAAAGCCCACGGCUCAACC
RNAcentral lists this ribosomal RNA (510 nucleotides) under uncultured Streptococcus sp. RNAcentral describes it as "bacterial SSU rRNA". It matches the Rfam family "Bacterial small subunit ribosomal RNA", at positions 116 to 614 of the family's 1533-position model. The record is from RNAcentral. Lineage: Bacteria; Bacillati; Bacillota; Bacilli; Lactobacillales; Streptococcaceae.